Molecule: ribosomal RNA, 252 nt
Filed under: uncultured prokaryote
Description: partial 16S rRNA
Rfam family: Archaeal small subunit ribosomal RNA
Source: RNAcentral
ACCGGCAGCUCAAGUGGUGGCCAUUUUUAUUGGGCCUAAAGCGUUCGUAGCCGGUUUGAUAAGUCUCUGGUGAAAUCCCGCAGCUUAACUGUGGGACUUGCUGGAGAUACUAUUAGACUUGAGGUCGGGAGAGGUUAGGGGUACUCCCAGGAGAGGGGUGAAAUGCACUAAUCUUGGGAGGACCACCGGUGGCGAAGGCGCCUAACUGGAACGAAACUGAGGGUGAGUAACGAAAGUCAGGUGCGCGCACCG